Non-coding RNA from Mycena leptocephala, 90 nucleotides. NCBI's taxonomy places the organism in Eukaryota, Fungi, Basidiomycota, Agaricomycetes, Agaricales, Mycenaceae. The record is from the annotation of a GenBank genome assembly.
UCGGACGUGGUGUACAGAACACCGCCGGGUAUUGUGAAGAGGAUGAAAACGUGUAACUGGCAGUCCGGGGUUCGACUCCCCGCGUCCGAA